RNAcentral lists this long non-coding RNA (377 nucleotides) under Capsicum annuum. RNAcentral describes it as "long non-coding RNA (CANN_LNC009649)". The record is from RNAcentral. Lineage: Eukaryota; Viridiplantae; Streptophyta; Magnoliopsida; Solanales; Solanaceae.
UCACUUUUGCACACCUUCUCAAUAUUAGUCUUAAGAAAUGAUUAUUGAACGGUUAAAAUUCUUCUAUUUUCUCCACAUGUUGUAUAGUAUCCACAAUAACUAGUGACUGGACAUUGUAUGCCUCAAUCUCUCAAUUUAAAUAGGAUUCCAAAUUGUGAUACCUAUGCCAAAUUGAUCUAUAUUUUGAAUGAGAUCAUCUGUCUUCUCUUUCAAUUGGGUUGCCAUGAUUGUGAGACUAUCCCGAAGACACUCUUGGAAUUUGAUUUGAUUCUCUAGUUUUAUUAGCCAAUCUUGGCUACUAUGUCUAUUUCAUCACAACUUUCUUCUGCCGGUACCUCCUUUUCAUCAUUAAUUAGGGACUUCUCUUAGGUGUUGAA